AACGUAGGUGACAAGCGUUAUCCGGAUUUACUGGGCGUAAAGCGCGUGCAGGCGGCUUGGCAAGUCGGGCAUGAAAUCUUUCGGCUUAACCGGGAGAGGCUGUCCGAUACUGCUAGGCUUGAGGGCAGUAGAGGGUGGUGGAAUUCCGCAUGUAGUGGUGAAAUGCGUAGAUAUGCGGAGGAACACCAGUGGCGAAGGCGGCCACCUGGACUGCUCCUGACGCUGAAGCGCGAAAGCUAGGGUAGCGAACGGG
Molecule: ribosomal RNA, 253 nt
Filed under: uncultured prokaryote
Description: partial 16S ribosomal RNA
Rfam family: Bacterial small subunit ribosomal RNA
Source: RNAcentral